RNAcentral lists this ribosomal RNA (900 nucleotides) under Sphaerochaeta sp. UBA5836. Its description in RNAcentral is "bacterial SSU rRNA". It matches the Rfam family "Bacterial small subunit ribosomal RNA", at positions 8 to 900 of the family's 1533-position model. Lineage: Bacteria; Pseudomonadati; Spirochaetota; Spirochaetia; Spirochaetales; Sphaerochaetaceae. The record is from RNAcentral.
AGAGUUUGAUCCUGGCUCAGAACGAACGCUGGCGGCGCGUUUUAAGCAUGCAAGUCGAGCGGCAAGGGUCUUCGGGCCCCUAGAGCGGCGGACGGGUGAGUAACACGUGGACAAUCUGCCCCCCGGCCGGGGAUAGCCCAGGGAAACCUGGAUUAAUACCGGAUGAGACGGGACCCGCGGAGGCGGGAUCCGGGAAAGGCGCUGCGGCGCCGCCGGGGGAUGAGUCUGCGUCCCAUUAGCUUGACGGCGGGGUAACGGCCCACCGUGGCGACGAUGGGUAGCCGGCCUGAGAGGGUGUACGGCCACAUUGGAACUGAGACACGGUCCAGACUCCUACGGGAGGCAGCAGCUAAGAAUCUUCCGCAAUGGGCGAAAGCCUGACGGAGCGACGCCGCGUGAACGAAGAAGGCCGUGAGGUUGUAAAGUUCUUUUCGGGAGGGGGAACGACCGUGGCAGGGAAUGGCCGCGGGAUGACGUGAAUCCCGGAAUAAGCCCCGGCUAACUACGUGCCAGCAGCCGCGGUAACACGUAGGGGGCGAGCGUUGUUCGGAAUCAUUGGGCGUAAAGGGCGUGCAGGCGGUCCUGCAAGUCCGGCGUGAAAGACCCCGGCCCAACCGGGGGGGCGCGCUGGAAACUGCAGGGCUUGAGUACAGGAGGGGAUGCCGGAAUUCCAGGUGUAGGGGUGAAAUCUGUAGAUAUCUGGAGGAACACCAAUGGCGAAGGCAGGCAUCUGGCCAUGUACUGACGCUGAGACGCGAAGGUGCGGGGAGCAAACAGGUUUAGAUACCCUGGUAGUCCGCACAGUAAACGAUGUGCACCAGGUGGCGGGGGGUCGACCCCCGGUACCGUAGCCAACGCAUUAAGUGCACCGCCUGGGGAGUAUGCUCGCAAGGGUGAAAC